Molecule: ribosomal RNA, 577 nt
Filed under: uncultured Prochlorococcus sp.
Lineage: Bacteria; Bacillati; Cyanobacteriota; Cyanophyceae; Synechococcales; Prochlorococcaceae
Description: bacterial SSU rRNA
Rfam family: Bacterial small subunit ribosomal RNA
Source: RNAcentral
CAAGUCGAACGAACCUUCGGGUUAGUGGCGGACGGGUGAGUAACGCGUGGGAAUCUGCCCUCAGGAGGGGGAUAACGGUUGGAAACGACCGCUAAUACCCCAUAUGCCGAUAGGUGAAACGAAUUUCGCCUGAGGAUGAGCCCGCGUCUGAUUAGCUAGUUGGUAAGGUAAAGGCUUACCAAGGCUUCGAUCAGUAGCUGGUCUGAGAGGAUGAUCAGCCACACUGGGACUGAGACACGGCCCAGACUCCUACGGGAGGCAGCAGUGGGGAAUUUUCCGCAAUGGGCGAAAGCCUGACGGAGCAACGCCGCGUGAGGGACGAAGGCCUCUGGGCUGUAAACCUCUUUUCUCAAGGAAGAAGAUAUGACGGUACUUGAGGAAUAAGCCGCGGCUAAUUCCGUGCCAGCAGCCGCGGUAAUACGGGAGUGGCAAGCGUUAUCCGGAAUUAUUGGGCGUAAAGCGUCCGCAGGCGGCCUUUCAAGUCUGCUGUUAAAGCGUGGAGCUUAACUCCAUUAUGGCAGUGGAAACUGAUAGGCUUGAGUAUGGUAGGGGCAGAGGGAAUUCCCGGUGUAGCGGU